Molecule: ribosomal RNA, 427 nt
Filed under: uncultured bacterium
Lineage: Bacteria
Description: bacterial SSU rRNA
Rfam family: Bacterial small subunit ribosomal RNA
Source: RNAcentral
UGAGGAAUAUUGGACAAUGGGCGCAAGCCUGAUCCAGCAAUGCCGCGUGCAGGAUGAAGGCCUUCGGGUUGUAAACUGCUUUUGUACGGAGCGAAAAGGUCUGCCCUAAUACGGUGGGCUCAUGACGGUACCGUAAGAAUAAGCACCGGCUAACUACGUGCCAGCAGCCGCGGUAAUACGUAGGGUGCGAGCGUUAAUCGGAAUUACUGGGCGUACAGCGUGCGCAGGCGGUUAUAUAAGACAGAUGUGAAAUCCCCGGGCUCAACCCGGGACCUGCAUUUGUGACUGUAUAGCUAGAGUACGGUAGAGGGGGAUGGAAUUCCGCGUGUAGCAGUGAAAUGCGUAGAUAUGCGGAGGAACACCGAUGGCGAAGGCAAUCCCCUGGACCUGUACUGACGCUCAUGCACGAAAGCGUGGGGAGCAAACA